Molecule: ribosomal RNA, 1462 nt
Filed under: uncultured organism
Description: 16S ribosomal RNA
Rfam family: Bacterial small subunit ribosomal RNA
Source: RNAcentral
UGCCUAAUACAUGCAAGUCGAGCGAACGGACGAGAAGCUUGCUUCUCUGAUGUUAGCGGCGGACGGGUGAGUAACACGUGGAUAACCUACCUAUAAGACUGGGAUAACUUCGGGAAACCGGAGCUAAUACCGGAUAAUAUUUUGAACCGCAUGGUUCAAAAGUGAAAGACGGUCUUGCUGUCACUUAUAGAUGGAUCCGCGCUGCAUUAGCUAGUUGGUAAGGUAACGGCUUACCAAGGCAACGAUGCAUAGCCGACCUGAGAGGGUGAUCGGCCACACUGGAACUGAGACACGGUCCAGACUCCUACGGGAGGCAGCAGUAGGGAAUCUUCCGCAAUGGGCGAAAGCCUGACGGAGCAACGCCGCGUGAGUGAUGAAGGUCUUCGGAUCGUAAAACUCUGUUAUUAGGGAAGAACAUAUGUGUAAGUAACUGUGCACAUCUUGACGGUACCUAAUCAGAAAGCCACGGCUAACUACGUGCCAGCAGCCGCGGUAAUACGUAGGUGGCAAGCGUUAUCCGGAAUUAUUGGGCGUAAAGCGCGCGUAGGCGGUUUUUUAAGUCUGAUGUGAAAGCCCACGGCUCAACCGUGGAGGGUCAUUGGAAACUGGAAAACUUGAGUGCAGAAGAGGAAAGUGGAGUUCCAUGUGUAGCGGUGAAAUGCGCAGAGAUAUGGAGGAACACCAGUGGCGAAGGCGACUUUCUGGUCUGUAACUGACGCUGAUGUGCGAAAGCGUGGGGAUCAAACAGGAUUAGAUACCCUGGUAGUCCACGCCAUAAACGAUAAGUGCUAAGUGUUAGGGGGUUUCCGCCCCUUAGUGCUGCAGCUAACGCAUUAAGCACUCCGCCUGGGGAGUACGACCGCAAGGUUGAAACUCAAAGGAAUUGACGGGGACCCGCACAAGCGGUGGAGCAUGUGGUUUAAUUCGAAGCAACGCGAAGAACCUUACCAACUCUUGACAUCCUUUGACAACUCUAGAGAUAGAGCCUUCCCCUUCGGGGGACAAAGUGACAGGUGGUGCAUGGUUGUCGUCAGCUCGUGUCGUGAGAUGUUGGGUUAAGUCCCGCAACGAGCGCAACCCUUAAGCUUAGUUGCCAUCAUUAAGUUGGGCACUCUAAGUUGACUGCCGGUGACAAACCGGAGGAAGGUGGGGAUGACGUCAAAUCAUCAUGCCCCUUAUGAUUUGGGCUACACACGUGCUACAAUGGACAAUACAAAGGGCAGCGAAACCGCGAGGUCAAGCAAAUCCCAUAAAGUUGUUCUCAGUUCGGAUUGUAGUCUGCAACUCGACUACAUGAAGCUGGAAUCGCUAGUAAUCGUAGAUCAGCAUGCUACGGUGAAUACGUUCCCGGGUCUUGUACACACCGCCCGUCACACCACGAGAGUUUGUAACACCCGAAGCCGGUGGAGUAACCUUUUAGGAGCUAGCCGUCGAAGGUGGGACAAAUGAUUGGGGUGAAGUC